AGUGAACGCUGGCGGUAGGCCUAACACAUGCAAGUCGAACGGCAGCACAGUAAGAGCUUGCUCUUACGGGUGGCGAGUGGCGGACGGGUGAGGAAUACAUCGGAAUCUACUUUUUCGUGGGGGAUAACGUAGGGAAACUUGCGCUAAUACCGCAUACGACCUACGGGUGAAAGCAGGGGAUCUUCGGACCUUGCGCGAUUGAAUGAGCCGAUGUCGGAUUAGCUAGUUGGCGGGGUAAAGGCCCACCAAGGCGACGAUCCGUAGCUGGUCUGAGAGGAUGAUCAGCCGCACUGGAACUGAGACACGGUCCAGACUCCUACGGGAGGCAGCAGUGGGGAAUAUUGGACAAUGGGCGCAAGCCUGAUCCAGCCAUACCGCGUGGGUGAAGAAGGCCUUCGGGUUGUAAAGCCCUUUUGUUGGGAAAGAAAAGCAGCAGGUUAAUACCCCGCUGUUCUGACGGUACCCAAAGAAUAAGCACCGGCUAACUUCGUG
RNAcentral lists this ribosomal RNA (492 nucleotides) under uncultured bacterium. RNAcentral describes it as "partial 16S ribosomal RNA". It matches the Rfam family "Bacterial small subunit ribosomal RNA", at positions 29 to 507 of the family's 1533-position model. The record is from RNAcentral.